GAUGAAGGAACGCAGCGAAAUGCGAUAAGUAGUGUGAAUUGCAGAAUUCAGUGAAUCAUCGAAUCUUUGAACGCACAUUGCGCCCUUUGGUAUUCCAAAGGGCAUGCCUGUUCGAGCGUCAUUUGUACCCUCAAGCUUUGCUUGGUGUUGGGCGUCUUGUCUCUAGCUUUGCUGGAGACUCGCCUUAAAGUAAUUGGCAGCCGGCCUACUGGUUUCGGAGCGCAGCACAAGUCGCACUCUCUAUCAGCAAAGGUCUAGCAUCCAUUAAGCCUUUUUUUCAACUUUUGACCUCGGAUCAGGUAGGGAUACCCGCUGAACUUAAGCAUAUCAAUAAGCGGAGGA
Molecule: unclassified non-coding RNA, 342 nt
Filed under: soil metagenome
Description: partial contains 5.8S ribosomal RNA, internal transcribed spacer 2, and large subunit ribosomal RNA
Rfam family: 5.8S ribosomal RNA (bases 1-121)
Source: RNAcentral